AGAGUUUGAUCCUGGCUCACGAUUAACGCUAGCGGCAGGCCUAAUACAUGCAAGUCGAACGGCAGCGGGUGUAGCAAUACAUGCCGGCGAGUGGCGCACGGGUGCGUAACACGUAUGCAAUCUACCCUUAACUGGAGGAUAGCCCCGAGAAAUCGGGAUUAAUACUCCAUAAUAUUAUUCUGGGGCAUCUCAGGGUAAUUAAAGCUCCGGCGGUUUUGGAUGAGCAUGCGCGACAUUAGCUAGUUGGUGAGGUAACGGCUCACCAAGGCUCCGAUGUCUAGGGGUUCUGAGAGGAUUCACCCCCACACUGGUACUGAGACACGGACCAGACUCCUACGGGAGGCAGCAGUAAGGAAUAUUGGUCAAUGGACGCAAGUCUGAACCAGCCAUGCCGCGUGAAGGAAGACGGCCCUACGGGUUGUAAACUUCUUUUGUACGGGAAAAAACCCUCGCUCGUGAGCGAGGCUGAUGGUACCGUAAGAAUAAGCAUCGGCUAACUCCGUGCCAGCAGCCGCGGUAAUACGGAGGAUGCAAGCGUUAUCCGGAUUCAUUGGGUUUAAAGGGUGCGCAGGCGGAAUGAUAAGUCAGUGGUGAAAUCCUACAGCUCAACUGUAGAACUGCCAUUGAUACUGUUGUUCUUGAGUACACUUGGAGUGGGCGGAAUGUGUCAUGUAGCGGUGAAAUGCUUAGAUAUGACACAGAACACCGAUCGCGAAGGCAGCUCACUAAAUUGUAACUGACGCUCAUGCACGAAAGCGUGGGGAUCAAACAGGAUUAGAUACCCUGGUAGUCCACGCUGUAAACGAUGAUCACUCGAUGUUGGCGAUAUACUGUCAGCGUCUAAGCGAAAGCAUUAAGUGAUCCACCUGGGGAGUACGAUCGCAAGAUUGAAACUCAAAUGAAUUGACGG
Molecule: ribosomal RNA, 910 nt
Filed under: uncultured bacterium
Lineage: Bacteria
Description: bacterial SSU rRNA
Rfam family: Bacterial small subunit ribosomal RNA
Source: RNAcentral